This 253-nucleotide ribosomal RNA is filed under the name uncultured bacterium. RNAcentral describes it as "partial 16S ribosomal RNA". It matches the Rfam family "Bacterial small subunit ribosomal RNA", at positions 524 to 776 of the family's 1533-position model. The record is from RNAcentral.
UACGUAGGGCGCAAGCGUUAUCCGGAAUUAUUGGGCGUAAAGAGCUCGUAGGCGGUUUGUCGCGUCUGCCGUGAAAGUCCGGGGCUUAACUCCGGAUCUGCGGUGGGUACGGGCAGACUAGAGUGCAGUAGGGGAGACUGGAAUUCCUGGUGUAGCGGUGAAAUGCGCAGAUAUCGGGAGGAACACCGAUGGCGAAGGCAGGUCUCUGGGCUGUAACUGACGCUGAGGAGCGAAAGCAUGGGGAGCGAACAGG